CCAAUGAAAAAAAAAAUUAAAUGGCUGCAGUAUUUUAACUGUACAAAGGUAGCAUAAUAAAUAGUUUUUUAAUUAAAAACUAGAAUGAAAGAUUUAAUGAAAUAAAAACUGUUUCAAUUUAAAUUAAAUUAAAAUUUUUAUUUAAGUAAAAAAACUUAAAUUUUUUAUAAAGACGAUAAGACCCUAUAGAAUUUUAUUUAAUUUUAUUUUUUUUAAAAAAAAUUAAAUUUUAUUGGGGUAAUAAAAAAAUUUAUAAAAUUUUUUUUUAAAAAAAUCAUUUAUUAAAGUAUUAAAUUUAUCUUAAUUUUUAAAUUAAAAAAAUUAAUUACCUUAGGGAUAACAGCAUAAUUUUUUUUGCAAGUUCUUAUUUAUAAAAAANAUUAU
RNAcentral lists this ribosomal RNA (384 nucleotides) under Plesiobracon sp. RNAcentral describes it as "partial 16S ribosomal RNA". The record is from RNAcentral. Lineage: Eukaryota; Metazoa; Arthropoda; Insecta; Hymenoptera; Braconidae.